Molecule: ribosomal RNA, 920 nt
Filed under: Hermatomyces tectonae
Lineage: Eukaryota; Fungi; Ascomycota; Dothideomycetes; Pleosporales; Hermatomycetaceae
Description: SSU rRNA
Rfam family: Eukaryotic small subunit ribosomal RNA
Source: RNAcentral
ACCUUACUACUUGGAUAACCGUGGUAAUUCUAGAGCUAAUACAUGCUAAAAACCCCGACUUCGGGAGGGGUGUAUUUAUUAGAUAAAAAACCAAUGCCCUUCGGGGCUCUUUGGUGAUUCAUGAUAACUUAACGGAUCGCAUGGCCUUGCGCCGGCGACGGUUCAUUCAAAUUUCUGCCCUAUCAACUUUCGAUGGUAAGGUAUUGGCUUACCAUGGUUUCAACGGGUAACGGGGAAUUAGGGUUCGAUUCCGGAGAGGGAGCCUGAGAAACGGCUACCACAUCCAAGGAAGGCAGCAGGCGCGCAAAUUACCCAAUCCCGACUCGGGGAGGUAGUGACAAUAAAUACUGAUACAGGGCUCUUUUGGGUCUUGUAAUCGGAAUGAGUACAAUUUAAACCCCUUAACGAGGAACAAUUGGAGGGCAAGUCUGGUGCCAGCAGCCGCGGUAAUUCCAGCUCCAAUAGCGUAUAUUAAAGUUGUUGCAGUUAAAAAGCUCGUAGUUGAACCUUGGGCCUGGCUGGCCGGUCCGCCUCACCGCGUGUACUGGUCCGGCCGGGCCUUUCCUUCUGGAGAGCCGCAUGCCCUUCACUGGGUGUGUUGGGGAACCAGGACUUUUACUUUGAAAAAAUUAGAGUGUUCAAAGCAGGCCUUUGCUCGAAUACGUUAGCAUGGAAUAAUAGAAUAGGACGUGCGGUCCUAUUUUGUUGGUUUCUAGGACCGCCGUAAUGAUUAAUAGGGAUAGUCGGGGGCAUCAGUAUUCAAUUGUCAGAGGUGAAAUUCUUGGAUUUAUUGAAGACUAAUGCGAAAGCAUUUGCCAAGGAUGUUUUCAUUAAUCAGUGAACGAAAGUUAGGGGAUCGAAGACGAUCAGAUACCGUCGUAGUCUUAACCGUAAACUAUGCCGACUAGGGAUCGGGCGAU